GUGAGUCAUCGAAUCUUUGAACGCACAUUGCGCCCCCUGGCAUUCCGGGGGGCAUGCCUGUCCGAGCGUCAUUUCUGCCCUCAAGCACGGCUUGUGUGUUGGGUGUGGUCCCCCCGGGGACCUGCCCGAAAGGCAGCGGCGACGUCCGUCUGGUCCUCGAGCGUAUGGGGCUUUGUCACUCGCUCGGGAAGGACCUGCGGGGGUUGGUCACCACCAUAUUUUACCACGGUUGACCUCGGAUCAGGUAGGAGUUACCCGCUGAACUUAAGCAUAUCAAUAAGCGGAGGA
RNAcentral lists this unclassified non-coding RNA (288 nucleotides) under Talaromyces sp. RNAcentral describes it as "partial contains 5.8S ribosomal RNA, internal transcribed spacer 2, and large subunit ribosomal RNA". The stretch from base 1 to 71 matches the Rfam family "5.8S ribosomal RNA", at positions 84 to 154 of the family's 154-position model. The record is from RNAcentral. Lineage: Eukaryota; Fungi; Ascomycota; Eurotiomycetes; Eurotiales; Trichocomaceae.